This is a long non-coding RNA of Peromyscus eremicus (cactus mouse), 4525 nucleotides long. RefSeq lists it as uncharacterized. The transcript is spliced from 2 exons. NCBI's taxonomy places the organism in Eukaryota, Metazoa, Chordata, Mammalia, Rodentia, Cricetidae. The record is from RefSeq and is a predicted model, not a curated record.
CACCUGGCCGCACAGCUCCGGGUCGGCGCAGGAGAACGCCCUGCCGGCGAGCCCAACGUCACCAACGGAAGGCCACCUCCGCCCGGCCGGGGCCAGCAGCCCAGUGCCACGCCAAAGCUCGCGAGACUGGAGGCAAAUGUCGCGAGAGUCCAAUCUCGCGGAGGGACGGCCCUUGUGCCCCGCCCCUCAGUAUCAGCGGUCCAAUCCCAAGUCCGCAGCGCUGUGCGAGCUGUCAACCACGGCUGGCGCAGCAUCGCGAGAGUUCCUGGUUGUCUGACCAGUGAAUGAACGGGCAAGUGAAGCCGAGGUUUCCAGAGCCGACGUGGCCUUUUGGCUUCUUCUCUUUCUCGGGGUUGAUACGAGUUUCCAUAAAUUUCCUUACGCUGUUUGUGUCGAGUUUAAAGACUCUUGGGUGCCGGGGGUGGUGACGCACACUAAUCCCAGCACUCAGGAGGCAGAGGCAGGCGGGUCUCUGAGUUUGAGGCCGGCCUGGGCUACAGAGUGAGUUCCAGGACAGUCAGAGCUACACAGAGAAACCCUGUCUCGAAAAACCAAAAAAACAAAAAAAAAAAAGUCAGGGAACCGGAUGUGCCUCACUUGCGCCUGCCAGGCUGAGACCAGAGGCUGCCCGCCAGCUUGAGGCCACCCUGGAUUACUGAGACUUUCUCAAAAAACAAACAAUGAAACCAAACAAAAAGCAACAACAAAGUCCCAAGCAAAACACAAACCAUGGUGUUGCACACCUCGUAAGUGAAGUUCAAAGUCACCCUGAGCUACAUAACAAAUACGUCCGAAUUUGAGGAAACCAGAAGGUGGCUGUAGCGAUGGCGGCGCAGCACUGGUUGCAGAGGAACUGGGUUCAAUCCCAAGACCCACAUGGUGGCAUACAACCAUCCGUAACCCCAGCUCCAGGUCUCAUCGCUAUUAGGUACAACAUUUUGGACUCACCAAAAUAGGAUAAAUAAUGGAGUAUUUUCUCUGAAUGUGUCAAAUGUUUGUGGACUGGACAUUGUUAAUAUAAUUAUUGACUAUAUAUUAUAUAUAGUUAUUGUACUUUUGUUUAUAGUUUUUCUUUUAUUAGUUAUAACCUUUUAUUAUUUUAGAUGAAAAAGGGGAAAUGUGGUGAAAUAUUGUGUACCCUAAUUAAGCUUGCCUAAGGAUCAGAGAACAGAACAAGCCACUAGAUUAAACAUGGAAACUAGGCAGUGGUGGUACACACCUUUAAUCCUAAUACUCGAAGGCAGAGAUCUGUCUGGAUCUCUGUGGGUUCAAAGCCACCCUGGACUAUAUGAGAUUGAUUUAGUCUAAAAGAGAAACAGAGCCAGGCAGUAGUGGCACACACCUUUAAUCCUAAUACUUGGGAGUGACACUCCUUUAAUCCUAGCACUUGGGAUCUCAUGGCUUUGCUACCAGUAUUUGGGAAGCACACAUGCCAUUAUUCCAGCACUAGGAAGGAAGUGAAAUGGCUGGGUAGAGAAAGGUAUAUAAGGCCUGAGGAGACAGGAACUAGAGCCUUUUGGCUGAGACCUUUUUGGCUGAGGACUCAGAGGCUUGCAGUCUGAGGAUUCGUGUAGAUAGGAUCUUGUCUCCAUUUUGGCCUGAGGAUUUCAGUAAUAGUAAGUUUCUCUAGUGGCUUGUUCCUUUGUCUCUCUGAUCUUUCAGCAUUUACCCCAAUAUCUGGGUCUGGGCUUUUCAUUAUAAGACCACUGAGGAUGGUCUUAUUGUGUCCUUGUUUUACUUCAUGUUUCAGCAGUCUUGUUGGUGAGAUUUAUGGGUGUAGCUUCUGACAUUACUAGGGUACAAUCUCACAACAAACUCCCAGAUCCUCUCUCUUACAGUCUUUCUGCCCCCUUGGGCAAACAUUCCCUGAGCAUUAGAUGUGGGAGUUGUUUUGUAGAUGUAGCUGUUGGGAUUGGACUCCACAUCUUGAUUGGUUGUAGUUUUCUGCAAUAGUCUCUGUUUAUUGUAAAGAGAAGAAGCCUCCUUGAUGAGGGGUAAGAACUACAUUUAUCAGGGCUAGCCCCUGAAGAAAAAUGUCUCCUCUGCCCAAGUUUGUAUUUUGGUGGCCAGUCGACCCAGCUUUUUGUUGUUUUUGUUUCUUUCCCUAGAAGCUGGGGAUGUAGCUCAGUGGUGCAGGACCUACUUAGAGCGUGUGAGGUUCUAGGUUCCAUCGACAGCAUGGAAGGGAGAAGGGAAGCAAGGGGGAGGGAGAGUAGAGGACAGAGAAGGGGAGGGAAGAGAAAACCAAUGUAUCAACUUCAAGUUCAUGAAAACUUUCUCCUGUUUUCAUCUGGGAACUUAAGUUUCUCCUUUUAUGUUUAAAUCCAGUCUUCAGAAAACCAUUAAAAAUUGUGAUAAGGAUGCUGAAGUGUAGCUCUUCAAGGUUGACAGCUUCUGGUGGAGGUGGGGGUGGGGAAGGGCUCAGUCUUCUCUAAGGGGCUGUCCACUGGGAGUUUGACCAUGCCCAGUGAGUAUAUGGACAACACAAAACAGAACUUGUUUUUUCCUUCUGCUGUUUUGGGGAAGGUCACAAUGGUUGGGGGCAGACCUGGGAGGACUGGAGUGAAUGUGAUCAGAGUGCAUUAUGUGAAAUUUCCAAAUAAUCAAUACAGAAUUACAUAAUAAAUCAAUCAAUCCAGUCUUCCUGUGUUACAUAGGAUGGGAUUAGAACCUUGGAGGCCGGCCUGUGUUCCAUAGCCAUUUGUUGUAGACUUUUGUUUUUUGUUUUUUUGAGACAGGCUUUCUCUGUGCAGUUUUGGUGCCUAUCCUGGAUCUGCUCUGUAGACUAGGCUGACCUUGAACUCACAGAGAUCCUCCUGGCUCUGCCUCCCGAGUGCUGGGAUUAAAGGCAUGUGCCACCACCGCCCGGCCAUACUUUUGUUUUUUAUUUAUGGCUAAUACUAUUUUUUCAACCCAUAAUUACUUGGAUUUAUGACCACAUAUGAUUAUCAGUGCCAUACUGCCAUUUUUAUAAAAUUGUUGUUUUAUAAAAUUGUAAAGCCUGCAUUAUAUUAUCCUUACCAUUUUUAAGUGCAGUUCAGUGGUAUGAAGUACAUUCACCUUAUGGCACAGCCAUCACCAUCAACUGACUCAGAAGGUUCAUCUGGCAGAACUGUAACCAUGGCCCUUCACAAACUCAUUUCCCUCUCCCCUUCACCCUAUUCUGCACAAUACCUCUACUUUGUCAGUUUAGUGACUGUUAGCACCUCCUGUUUGUAGAAUCAUGUUGUGCAGGUCUGUUUUGGUUAUCAACUUGACUGUAUCUGGAACCAACUAGAAUCCAAGCCGCUGGGCACUCCUGUGAGGGAUUCUUCUCAUUGGAUUAUUUGAAAGAGGAAGAUUCACCCUAACUGCGAGCCACACUUUUCUUUUUCUGGAUAAAAGGACCUGGAAGGAGACUCUGACCACUCACACUGUCACUACUAAGUUCAUCUGUCCUUUGCUGGUUGAUAUGAAAACCAGCUUCUUUGUGAUUCCAACACAGACUGAUGACAGCAGUUCUCCAAGGAUCUUCCAGGCCUCCAGGGGUCUCAUGUGGCCCAGGCUAACUUUGAUCCGGGGCCUCUACUUCCCAGGUAUGCCUAGUGCUGGUUAUUCAACUUUUUUGCCUCUCAGCUCUGAAUGCACCCUUUGCUUGAUUCUCUGUAAUGUGUAAUUCAGCCUUAAGCAGGGAUACUUGCUUCAACCUCUCUCCCUGAAAAGAAACUUUGGUAUUUUUUAUAACCUAGGAGAAGAAAAGAGGUGGAAGAAAGGCGAGACCAGGGCUGUGUGAUGGCGUUAGCUGAUUACAAAGACAUUGGGGUACUGAAGAGAAGUGUACAUCAUUGUUGUGGGGUAUUUGUACACUGUGUGAAGAUAUAUUGAUGUGACUGGUUCAAUAAAGAGCUGAACAGCCAAUAGCUAGGCAGGAGAUACAGGCAGGACUUCUGGGCAGAGAGGAAGGAAGCCGAUGAAUCUACUUGUCCAAGAGACACCAGGAGACACAGAAGAAGCAGGAUGGGCAGUACGUGACAGAACGUAGAUUAAUAGAAAUAGGUUAAUUUAAGUUAUAAGAGCUAGUAAAAAAAAAAAAAAAAAAAAACAAGCCUAGGCUAAGGCCAACCUUUCAUAAUAAGUCACUCUGUUGUUAUUUGAAAGCUGGCUGGUGGGACAGAAAGACUCGUUACACGUCAUUUAUUAUUACUUGAUAUCAGAGUUAAAUUAAGAAGCACUGUUGAUUCUGGUGAUGUGGCAUUGCUGUCACGUACCUCAGUUUAGUUUUCCAGUGGGGUCUGCUUUAUUACUAAAAUAUUUACACUUAGAAUAUAGUACAGUUAGCAGCAACUUUCUUCUCAGUCUAGAAAGAGCCACAGACUUCUCACCCAAGUGGCUCAGUUACUAACAAUUCUGUCUCUGUUUCAUAGGAGAUGGGUUCCAUUCCGUCAUUCCGCAUCAACAGCCUCCUAUAAGAUUAUUCCACUGCCUUUGUAAGGCUGCCUGUGUUGGCAUCUGCGAUGGUAGCUAAAUAAAUGAGAUUUCUAUGCAA